GAAGAAUAUACGGUCUUGGAUUUGAAGCAAGAAUUUAUUAGGGGCAAAAUCUUUAUGGUUCAUAAUCAUUACCACCUUCAUUUUCUCAAUCAACAUCGAUAACAAAUAUGGAUGAGUUUGUAAAGCAAAUGAUGUCUGCACUAACUAGUCAUCUUGUUCCUAUUAUUGUUGAGCAGGUGCAAGCAUCGAUUACUCCAUCCGGCAAUCCAUCGAUUGUGACACCCAUAGUGCCUGUUGUUACUAAUGUGGACGAGGUUGAUACCUUAAUUUCAAGUGAAGAUCGUAUCCCUUAGUCUCCCACAACUUUAGUUUUUGAUGAUGUCAUAUUUUUU
This 332-nucleotide unclassified non-coding RNA is filed under the name Hevea brasiliensis (rubber tree). Lineage: Eukaryota; Viridiplantae; Streptophyta; Magnoliopsida; Malpighiales; Euphorbiaceae. The record is from RNAcentral.